Molecule: small RNA, 937 nt
Filed under: Pongo abelii (Sumatran orangutan)
Lineage: Eukaryota; Metazoa; Chordata; Mammalia; Primates; Hominidae
Description: retained intron
Source: RNAcentral
CCAAAGACCCGAAGCCCUGGGGGAAGGAAAUUCCAACUCGCUCGCGGCCCACCCCCCGCCCCGUUCCUCUCUCCGGCUCGCUGCUUCCCUCGCUCCAAUGCCGCCGAGCUGGUCCCCACUUAUGUGCGGCCGUGCUGCAGAGGCGGCGGCGAGCUCCCGGACUCCGGGCAGGGAAAUGGGGCAGGGUGAGUGAGAGCGGACUCCGGCGAGGUCCCCAGCGCCCAGCCAGCGCCCGCACCCCGCCCGCGGGACAGGGGAGGCGCUGAGUCGGCCCUGCCCGCCCUGGGCUGAGCCUCGCAGGGGUUGCCGCUUCUCCAUUCAAGUCCUGGCUUGAGAGCCGAGCGGCAGGAGCGCGGGCCGGGGAAGGGAAGAGUAGGAGAGGAAGCCGCGAGGGAGAACAGGCGAGCUACUGUCUCCUUUGGAAAAGAACCAGUGACGCGCCGCCUGGGAGCUGGAGCCCGCGCAGCGCCCCGCAGGGCGAUGGACGGCCGAACCCCGCGCCCGCAGGACGCCCCAGCAGGGAGAAAACCAAAAGCCAAGGCACCACUUCCUCCAGCUGAGACCAAAUACACUGGUGUCUCUUCAGCUGCUGAUUGUAUAGAAUCCACUGCUUUCAUCAUGGAACAGAAAGAAAACAUGAUAGAUAAAGACGUUGAACUCUCAGUGGUCCUACCUGGGGAUAUUAUCAAAUCUACUACUGUUCAUGGCAGGUACGCUGGAGUGAAUGAAAUAUCAGGACCUCCCCUUCUUAUUCCACUAUUGAAAGUCUCUGUCAUAUACGUCUUGAUGUUUGUUCUUUGACAAAACACUUAUCACUCAGUUUAGUUAUCUGUUAAAAAAAAGAGUGCUAAAAUGGUGUUAAAAAUUUUCUAUCAAUGUUUUAAUCCCAGUGCUAUGAAUUCCACAAACCCAAUUAAAUGACUCUUGAAAUUUGGAA